GCAUGGAUCUGCUUUUGUCUCUA
Molecule: non-coding RNA, 23 nt
Filed under: Cricetulus griseus (Chinese hamster)
Lineage: Eukaryota; Metazoa; Chordata; Mammalia; Rodentia; Cricetidae
Source: RNAcentral